Molecule: long non-coding RNA, 2400 nt
Organism: Nothobranchius furzeri (turquoise killifish)
Lineage: Eukaryota; Metazoa; Chordata; Actinopteri; Cyprinodontiformes; Nothobranchiidae
Source: Ensembl
AUGCCUACAGCCCAGCUGACAGAGCUUGCCGGUCUCCAGGUGGAGCUUGGCCGGAUCCGUCAGCUCGUCAGCCUCUGGGAGUUCCAGCUGGACACCCUAUCCUCCCUGUAUCUCCAGGAGAAGGUUUUUGUCCAGCCAGCGGCCCCGCCUCUGGUACAGUCAGCAGCUCUCUCGUCUCCAGGCCAAAGGACCGAGCUCGCAGCCCAUCCAACAGAGCUCGCCGGUCUCCGAGCUGAACUGGUCCGAAUCCAUCAGAUCCUCAGUCUCCAGGAGUUCCAGCUGGACAAUCUAUCCUCCCUGCUUUUCCAGUUACCGGUUCCACCAGGUCCCGCGUUACCAGUCCAGUCAGCGCCAGGUCCCGCGCCACCAGUCCAGUCAGCGCCAGUUCCAGCGGUGGUCCAGGACGCUCCGCCCCUGGGCCAGUCUGUCCAAGAGGCUCCACCCCCAGGUCAGCCUGUCCAGUGGUCAGCGCCCAGUCCGGCGGCACCAGCCAAGGAAGCGGUCCCGACUGCAGCGGCUCCACCUCCACUCCAGAAGGCAGCGGCCCCUCGUGCAGCGGCUCCGCCUCCACUCCAGAAGUCUAAGCCUCCGGUCCAGAAGUUGACGCCUCCAGUCCAGAAGUUGAAGGUUCCGGUCCAGAAGUCGAAGGUUCCGGUCCAGAAGUCGACGGUCCAGGUCCAAAAGUCAGCGGUCCAGAAGUUGGUGGUCCAGAAGCCGGCGCCUCCGGACCAGAAGCCGACAGUCCAGGUCCAGAAGUCGGCGGUCCAAAAGUCGGCGGUCCAGAAGCCGGCACCUCCGGACCAGAAGCCGACAGAGGUCGACGCUCCUUCCCGUCCAGAGUUCGACGCUCUGGGGUCGACGCUCCUUCCCGUCCAGAGUUCGACGCUCCUUCCCGUCCAGAGGUCAACGCUCCUUCCCGUCCAGAGGUCAAUGCUCCUUCCCGUCCAGAGGUCGACGCUCCUUCCAGUCCAGAGGUCGACGCCCCUUCCAGUCCAGAGGUCGAUGCCCCUUCCAGUCCCGAGGACGACGCCCCUACCAGUCCCGAGGUCGACGCCCCCACCAGUCCCGAGGUUGACUCCCCCUCCAGUCCCGAGGUCGAUGGCCCCUCCAGUCCAGAGGUCGACACCCCUUCCAGUCCAGAGGUCGACAUCCCCUCCAGUCCAAAGUCUCCCCCUCCAGUCCAGAGGCCGAUGUCUCCUCCUUCAGUCCAGAGUCCGACGUCUCCCCCUCCAGUCCAGAGGCCGGCGUCUCUCCUUCCAGUCCAGAGGUAGACGCUCCUUCCAGUCCAGAGGUCGACGCUCCUUCCAGUCCAGAGGUCGACUCUCCUUCCAGUCCAGAGGUCGACGCUCCUUCCAGUCCAGAGGUCGACGCCCCUUCCAGUCCAGAGGUCGACGCCCCUUCCAGUCCCGAGGACGACGCCCCUACCAGUCCAGAGGUCGACGCCCCCACCAGUCCAGAGGUCGACGCCCCCUCCAGUCCCGAGGUCGAUGGCCCCUCCAGUCCAGAGGUCGACGCCCCCUCCAGUCCCGAGGUCGAUGGCCCCUCCAGUCCAGAGGUCGACGCCCCCUCCAGUCCAGAGGUCGACAUCCCCUCCAGUCCAAAGUCUCCCCCUCCAGUCCAGAGGCUGACGUCUCCUCCUUCAGUCCAGAGUCCGACGUCUCCCCCUCCAGUCCAGAGGCCGGCGUCUCUCCCUCCAGUCCAGUGGUCAACGUCCCCCCCUCCAGUCCAGUGGUCGACGUCUCCCCCUCCAGUCCAGUGGUCGACGUCUCCUCCUCCAGUCCAGUGGUCGACGUCUCCUCCUCCAGUCCAGUGGUCGACAUCUCCUCCUCCAGUCCAGUGGUCAACGUCUCCUCCUCCAGUCCAGUGGUCGACGCCAUCCCCAGACCAGUGGUCGACGCCGUCCCCAGUCCAGUGGUCGACGCCGUCCCAGUCCAGUGGUCGACGCCGUCCCCAGUCCAGUGGCCGACGCCGUCUCCAGUCCAGUGGUCGACUCCUCCUCCAGUCCAGUGGUCGACGCCUCCUCCUCCAGUCCAGUGGUCGACGCCGUCCCCAGUCCAGUGGUCGACGCCGUCCCCAGUCCAGUGGCCGACACCGUCUCCAGUCCAGUGGUCAACUCCUCCUCCAGUCCAGUGGUUGACUUCUCCUCCUCCAGUCCAGGGUUCGACGCCUCCUCCUCCAGUCCAGUGGUCGACGCCGUCCCCAGUCCAGUGGUCGACGCCGUCCCCAGUCCAGUGGUCGACGCCGUCCCCAGUCCAGUGGUCGACGCCGUCUCCAGUCCAGUGGUCGUCACCACCGCCUCCAGUCCAGAGGCCGUCUCCGCCGCCUCCAGUCCAGAGGCCGUCUCCGCCACCUCGGCUUUUAGGUGUACUGUUUCAGAAAGCCAAGAUACUUUUCAUGUGA